Armigeres subalbatus is the source of this 6714-nucleotide RNA transcript. It is a transcript of the gene named neuroglian, with no coding region annotated. The record is from RefSeq and is a predicted model, not a curated record. Lineage: Eukaryota; Metazoa; Arthropoda; Insecta; Diptera; Culicidae. The transcript is spliced from 10 exons.
UCGGACCAGCGUGAAUGUGUUGAGAAAACGACUGUGCAAGUUGCGUUCUUGCCCUGGACAGUUCGUCGUGUUCAUUCAUUCGCUAGUGAAAAGUAUGGCCGAACGUACGUCGUCGUAGCGCCGUUCCGUCGUCGUGUUGAAGCAAGAAAGUGUGAUGACAUCAUUUUGACCCCCGCCCGAGCUAAAUAGUGUCCAUAGCGCGAAGUGAAGUGCGUGUGUGAGUGAGCAGCGGUGGAGCAGCGAGAUUUGGUUGGUGAAGCGUGGGGGGAAACAAACAACCGAAGCGAAGAAGUAACCGACGAGGAAAAAAGUGUGCAUUUUCAUCGAUUUUAUUUUACUGUAGAGGUAGAAUCGGUCCGGAACUGCUUGCUGCCGGUUUGGAGAAUCCGGAAGUAGACCGGAAGAUAGUUCGUCGGGUUAAUCCAUACACCGUGACGAUCGGAGCCGCAGUCGACGUUUAGGCCGCCAAGCAGCGGUGUUGGAAUAAGGACCUUGGGGGGCUUUUUCGACAGGGGGAGGAAGUUAAGUGUUUGGGCAAGUGUGUAAUAGCGAGUUAGGUGAUAAUCAGUGCCAGUGGUGAAGUUCGAAUCAUGUGGACAUUCGGUAGUAGGGACGGCGGGUUCGUCCUGCUACUGGUGGUAGCUGCCAUCAAUGUGAUCGCCGUGCAGAGUUUGAUCCACUCACCGCCCCGCAUCAUCAAACAGCCGCCAACGGACGAGAUGCUGUUCCAGGUGGCACAGCCAGGUGAAAACGACAAGCCCUUCGUCAUCGAGUGCGAAGCCGAAGGCGAACCAUCACCGAAAUACCGCUGGAUCAAGAACGGCAAAAAGUUCGAAUGGCAAACGUACGACGACCGAAUGUCGCAGCAGCCGGGUCGCGGUACGCUGGUCAUCAAGUCCCCGCGGGACGAGGAUCUCGGCCAGUAUCAGUGUUUCGCCGAGAACGAGCACGGCACGGCCACAUCGAAUUCGGUGUUUGUUCGGAAAGCCGAAUUGAACUCGUUCAAAGACGAGUCUGCCAAAACGCUGGACGUGGACGAGGGUUCACCGCUGAAGAUGCAGUGCCAGCCGCCGGAUGGUUGGCCCCGACCGAACGUCUACUGGUUGAUUCAAAAUAUGGACGGUGGCAUCAGUUCGAUUAACAAUUCGCGUAUGACGCUGGAUCCGGAGGGUAAUCUGUGGUUCUCCAACGUGACGCGCGGGGAUGCUUCGGAUGAUUUCUACUAUGCUUGUGCGGCUUCGUCGCUGUUCCGAAAUGAAUACAAAAUCGGUAACCGUGUGUUGCUGCAGGUUAAGCAGACCGGUAUUUCGGCUGCCCAGAAUAAACAUCGUCCCCAGAGGCAGUACGUGUCCAGGAAGAACGAGGUGGCACUGAGAGGUAAGAAAAUUGAAAUGUUCUGUAUCUACGGAGGUACGCCGCUGCCGCAGGUGGUGUGGACGAAGGAUGGUCGACCGAUUCAGUGGAGUGAUAAGAUACAGCAAAAUAAUUACGGUAAGUCGUUGGUGAUAAAGCACGCAUCGUUUGAGGAUCAGGGAACGUAUACUUGCGAGUCGUCGAACGGCGUGGGUAGCGCAGAAUCGUACUCGAUUCGGUUAGAAGUGCAAGCUGUUCCAUAUUUCACCAAGGAACCAGAAAUCGUCAACGCCGCCGAGGAUGAAACCGCGGAGUUCACUUGCGAAGCAUCAGGUGUGCCAAAGCCGAACAUUAUCUGGAUUCAUAACGGAAAGCCAAUUGACCAAUCGAAACCUAAUCCCAGACGACAAGUAGGAUCGAACCGAAUCUACUUCACCAAAUUGGAGAAGGGUGACACCGGUAAUUACGGUUGUAACGCCACCAACUCUUUGGGUUAUGUUUACAAAGAUGUGUACCUGAAUGUGCUGGCCCUGGCACCGGAAAUUACGGAACCACCAAAGCUGGAAUACACCGUGGAUCGACGCAACGUUACUAUGACUUGUCGAGUGUUCGGUGCUCCCAAGCCAGAAGUCAAAUGGAUCCGUAAUGGACGUGAGCUAACCGGAGGUAAAUUCAAGAUCGAAGCCAAUGGAGAUCUGUUUAUACGUGGGGUCGAAUUCUCCGAUGCCGGUGAGUACACGUGUAAUGCUGUGAACAAACUUGGCGAAAAAUCUGCCUCAGGGGAAUUGGUUGUUAAGGAACAUACGAAGAUUAUUGACGAGCCUCAAGAUUAUGAAGUUGUUGCUGGAACCCAAGCAACAUUCCGUUGUAAUGCGGUAGCAGACAGUUCGCUAGAACUAACCAUCGAAUGGAUGACUGAUGGCGAGCCUAUCGAUUUUGAUAGCCAGCCUCGAUUUGUCAUGACCAACGAUUACUCGCUAACGAUCUCAAAAACCAUCGAAUUGGACACAGGUGUCUACACAUGCUUUGCGCGGACAGAUUUGGACGAAGUAAUGGCCAAUGCAACGCUUACCGUCUACGAUCGACCAAACGCACCUUCCUUGAUGGGAGUUGAAUGCCAUCAAACUUUGGCCACACUUUCGUGGAAGCCGAACGGUGAUAACCGAUCUCCAAUUUUGCACUACACAAUCGAAUUCAAUACCUCAUUUACUCCGGAUACCUGGGAGAUCUCCUCUAAAGACGUCCCUGCAACAGAUUUCACCUACAGCGUGGAUAUGAGCCCUUGGUCGAACUAUACAUUCCGAGUGAUUGCCAUCAAUAAAGUCGGCCCAUCGCAACCAUCAGGGCACAGUGAGGUCUGUACCACGCAGCCCAGCGUUCCCUUCAAGAAUCCGGAUAACGUUGAAGGCCAAGGUACCGAACCGAACAAUCUAGUCAUCCGGUGGACUCCGAUGUCCGAAAUCGAACACAAUGCACCACGAUUCCAGUACCGCGUCUACUGGCAGUUGGACACCGGAGUUGAUCAUUGGAAUACGGAAGAUAUUUUCGAUUGGCGCCAGUCAGAGCUGGUCGUUCGGGAUCAGGAAACUUUCCGAAGGUAUCGUAUUAAGGUUGUGGCCAUCAACGAACUUGGUGAAGCCAAUGUCGCACCCAAAGAAGUUAUCGGAUACUCCGGUGAAGACAAACCACUGGAAGCUCCUUCCAAUUUCACACUGAUUCAGGUCACAGCCCCCACUUCGGCAAUCCUCAGUUGGAACCCGGUUACGGAGGAAAGCAUUCGAGGCCAUUUCAAGGGCUACAAAAUCCAAACCUGGACCGAUGCCGACGGCGAAGAAAAUCUGCGGGAAAUUCUCGUCACAUCUGAUUCAAAACAAGCUUUGGUUACCGAUUUCAUCCCAGAUUCUACCAACUAUGCCCGAAUUCUCGCCUACAACGGACGAUUCAAUGGACCUCCCAGUACGACACUGUCGUUCGAUACCCCCGAAGGUGUCCCCAACACGAUUCAAACCCUCGAUGCCAUUCCUCUGGGUUCAUCGGCCUUCCUUCUGAAGUGGAAGAAACCACUGCAACCGAAUGGAAAAUUGACCGGAUACAAGAUCUACUACGAGGAAGUCAAGGGUACCUCAUUCGGACCUCAGAUGGAGCGUGAACCACACAUCCAUGACCCGAAAAUCACCGAAGCCAAACUGGGAAAACUGAAACCCAGCACCAAAUAUCGAGUGCACGUUGUUGGAACAACGAAAGCCGGAGAGGGACAAGACUAUUACAUCGAACAGAAGACUGGCACCGGAGCGGCAGUCAUUCCCGAUCAGCCCUACUUCGCGUGGGAGCAGAAACCGAACGACAACGGCCAGGCGGACAUCAAGGUCAUCUGGCAGCCGAGCUUGGAGGGUAAGCCGGGAUCGCACUUCUUCGUCAAGUAUCGCAUCAAGGGCGAGAACCAGUGGCUCAUGACGGAACCGGUGCUGUACGAGAACCACCACACCGUGCACGGGCUGGAACCGGACACCAACUACGAGUUCCGCGUCGUGUCCGUGGACGGCGAGUUUCAGACGGAAUCGUUUUCACAGGAAGUGGACACCUCCGGUAUCGAUACCCCCAUCAAGGUACCGAGUCAAAAUGUGGCCACGGCCGGGUGGUUUAUCGGAAUGAUGCUGGCCAUCGCGUUCCUGAUACUGCUGCUGAUCAUCAUCUGCAUUAUCAAGCGGAACCGAGGCGGCAAGUACGACGUGCACGACCGUGAGCUGGCUAACGGUCGGAACGAUUACACCGAGGAGGGUGGAUUCCCCGAGUACUCCCAGCCUGUUUUGCGUGAUUACAGCUUGGACAAUAAAAGCCAGGGUCGGCAGUCGCUGAGCUCGCAAAAAGUCGGACCGGAAAGUGAUACUGAUUCCAUGGCGGAAUAUGGUGAAGGUGAUACAGAAGGUAUGAAUGAAGACGGUUCGUUCAUCGGACAGUAUGGCCGGAAGGGCAAGAACGCGGACAGCAACUCACAGGCGUUUGCGACUUUAGUUUAGUGUUUAGAAGCGAGUAACAAUCAAAUGUGUUUUAUUUUAUUUUAUUCGAAACGAUCGCUUAGAAUAAGGUCGUUUGAAAACGAUGGAAGAAAACUUGGUAAAUCGUGAAUUGUUAUCAUGAUUUAGGAAAACAGUAGCAUUCGGUACAACAUACAGUUGUAUGAUUAUACAAUGACGAUGAUAAUAAUGAGAAUCAGUGCAGUUUUAGGACCAGGUUAAUCAAAAAACACUAGCCAGAAAUGUAUUUGAACUAUAUGAGAUAUAGGGUUAAAAUUUGCGAGUAUUUUUUUUGUAUUGUGUAGGAGCAAAAAUCAAAGGAAACACAAAAGUACGCGGACAAUUCGGAACGUAUUUUUUUAUGUUUACAAGAAGCGUUGUUUUAGAGCUAUUGAUAAAGUAAGUUUUUGAAAUUUUGAACAGUAUAAUUUAUUUUCAAUUUUGUUUAUAAAUUAUUUAUUCGACGUCUUGUGAGUUUGCUGUUUUCUGGAGAAAAAGAGGAGUGGAUUAUGUUUUCUUGUUCCAACCAUGCAGUUUUAUGACAUUAGGAUGCAGUUUUAAUUUCUUUUGUUUGAAAGGCGGUCAAUUCACUGAAGAUGGAUCCUUCAUUGGGCAGUAUGUACCCGGCAAGCCGCCCGUCAGUGCUCAAUCGACGCCGCAGAAUCCUUCACUGCAAGGAGCUAAUGCCGGUAUGGCCACGUACGUCUAAGUUAAAUUAACCGCACUGUUGCAUCCCAUUCGUUCGGAAAGCUGCACGGAAUGAUCAAAUCAGAACCGCUGGAGAAAGCAAACCGUGAGAAAAACAACAUGCAUCACGUACAACUUUUUUUUGCAAAUUUGUUUUGGAGAAUUUUUAUCGUUCUUUUCUGAGCUAUCUGAUUACCGUAUAAACACAAUAGACUAAGUACGACUGUAGCUGGCGACCAGCUCGAAUGUUUAAGGCAGUUCGUUCAUAUUGAUCAACGUGAUAAAAUCAUACAUUUUUGAUUCCAUCACUCUGUCUUGCGAAAUAAUGUAACUCAAAACAAAUGUGUUCAACGCAAAUUUUUAAACAGAAAACAAACUCAAGCAUCUAACAGGAAAUCACCAUUCGUUAAUAAGAGACAGAAAAAUCACUCCAUUACAACAACUACUACAAUCUCAGUACAAACUACAACAAUUUCCAUUUCGGCAGUGAGCUCCCUUUUAGCAUUACGGAGCUCUCUCUCUAUCUCAACGUGCUUUAAUACCGGCGAAUAAUGUACGAGAUGACCGUCUAAUCGCAACCGACGAUUCUCUCAAAGAGUUGGAUCGAUUCCGGUUGCAGCAGCUAUCUGCUUAAUUAUUAUCUUCUUAAAAAUAUUAACGAGAUAUCUUAGUCCGAUCCCAGAUAAGGAUUACUUUCCCCAUUUCAUUUCUACGUUGUUCCUUCGUUUAUGUUUAACCGUCACGUCCUACAAACAUCCAAUGCUGUAUAACAGUUUAUUCGGCAAUCAAUCAGUUCCGAGUUGGCUUUUACAAGCUUUUAAAUAGUGAACAAACUGUUUGUCGGGACUUGCAAACCGCUUAGUAGAUCUGAUUAUUUUUGGCGUCCCCCCGUCUCUGAGAAAAAGAGAAUCUAGCAACUACCAUAAUUCAAGAAUCAAUUUCGUCCAGUAAAUAUGAAUCUCUUUGUUUAGUUGUACUAGUUGCUUAAGAAACCUGUAAAGGAAAAUAAUCAUCUCUCUCGGCACUGCUCGUAAUAUUGAUCAUACCGCGAAGAGCUGCCAAGAUGUGUAAACGUCUCUAUAGCUUAGGUUGUUGUUAAUUUUAUACCCGUUUAUAAAAUUAGUGCAAACAAAUUGAAAGGAUGAAGAAUGAAGUACGAAGGAUCGCAGAAUUUGUAGAAAAAACAGGACAGCACAAACAGAUUGACUUACGACUUGGCAGCCGAAUAGAAUCUCAACAUCACAACCUUAAAACCCCUCAGAAUCUGCUAAAUCCACAAAUCGAGCGAAAGAGAGAGAGAUCGUGUCUGUAUAUAAAGCAAAACAAAACAACAAGUGCUGCUACUAUUAUUACUUUUAGAAAACAACAAAAAAAGCUAUAUAUUUUAUAUUUUUUGCUCUAAAUGCAAAUCUACUCUUUUUACGGAUAUGAGGGAAGAUCGUACCGCAAGACGAAGGCAAACAAAAAAUCGUUAGAAUGCAAUUCUCUGUUUUUUUUCUACUUAGUCAAACAGACGAACUCUGAACACAUGACGGAAAAGUAUCGCGCGAAUUCCUUCGAAUUAUUAUUAUUACUAGUUUUAAUUGUUUAGUGCGAAAAUCAAAGCUAAAUGUUCACAAACUUUUAUUUGUAAUAAAGAAAUUCUUUACAAACAAUUAAA